RNAcentral lists this small nuclear RNA (348 nucleotides) under Octodon degus (degu). Its description in RNAcentral is "7SK RNA (ENSODEG00000024707.1)". It matches the Rfam family "7SK RNA". From Rfam's summary of the family: 7SK was discovered as an abundant small nuclear RNA in the mid-70s but a possible function has only recently been suggested. Two independent studies have found that 7SK RNA binds the CDK9/cyclin T complex (known as elongation factor P-TEFb). Lineage: Eukaryota; Metazoa; Chordata; Mammalia; Rodentia; Octodontidae. The record is from RNAcentral.
GGCUGUGAGGGCAAUAGGGACACAUCUGUCACCUCACUGAUCGCCAGGGCUGAUGUGGCUGUUCCGGCCCGCCAGGCGAGUGCGUCCUUCCUCCCUCACGGCUCCACGCACGUGCGUCCCUCCCAAGGCCACCCGCGCUGCAUAGGAUAACCACCCACCAUAGAGGACUGUUUCCCAGGCCAAGGGUACACACCCAGCUACAUUCCCCUCCUAAAACCUUCAAAGAAGCGAUCAAAGGCCAAUGUCAUCUAAGCAUGUCUUCUUAAAUCAUGAAGUCAUCUCCACUUCAUUCCCCGCAGCACAAGACAGACAGUUAUCGUUCCAUUUUGGAAAGUCUGAUCAUUCUAC